RNAcentral lists this transfer RNA (74 nucleotides) under filamentous cyanobacterium CCP5. It matches the Rfam family "tRNA". Rfam says of the family: Transfer RNA (tRNA) molecules are approximately 80 nucleotides in length. Their secondary structure includes four short double-helical elements and three loops (D, anti-codon, and T loops). The record is from Rfam by way of RNAcentral. Lineage: Bacteria; Bacillati; Cyanobacteriota.
GGGCAUGUAGCUCAGCUGGAUAGAGCACUAGAUUCCGGUUCUAGGUGUCGGGGGUUCGAAUCCCUUCAUGCCCG